Loxodonta africana (African savanna elephant) is the source of this 14979-nucleotide long non-coding RNA. RefSeq lists it as uncharacterized. The record is from RefSeq and is a predicted model, not a curated record. NCBI's taxonomy places the organism in Eukaryota, Metazoa, Chordata, Mammalia, Proboscidea, Elephantidae. The transcript is spliced from 5 exons.
UUUGGUCUUAAUCGUGUGGACAUCAUUGGGAAAUGGAAAGAAAUAAGUAACUGUAUACCUACUGCUUGUCAGGUUCCAAGCUGACGUUCUAGGCAGCUCUGCCGAGCCUGUUUAUCUUCCUAUCUUCAGGGCACAGUUCCUGGCAUGGUGACGGCAUCAGCUUCUCCCUGCAUUAUAUGACUGUCCCCACAUUUUUGCAAGUGUAAAGCAAAAAUGCCAUCUUGCACCUAAAAAAAAAGUCUUCUACCUGGGCACACAUUGGAUAAAAACUCCAGCAGCUAAAAGUCCACACUGACUCUUGUUAACUUCACAGACUGUGAACAGACGCCCAGCUUCACAAGACAAUGUGUGAUUUCAAAGGCUGGAGCCAGCGAUCGUAUGACUUGAAGUUCUUCACUUGACGUCUUCCCGGUGUGGGCACAUAGUCUGGUAUUUGUGUUUAUUUUUCACGAUAGGUGGGGAAGUGGGAGGGAGGAUUCCCACCUCCUAUUGUUUGAUUCUAGAAAAGAGAAAUGCUUCCUUAUUCUCCCUGGUGUUCUCCGUCCUCGUUCUCUCACGAGAAGCAACGAUUGUGAGGGUGGCACAUGACGGAGCAGUGUUUCAUUCUGUCGUACACAGGGUGGCUAUGAGUCGGAACUGACUCGACAGCACCUCACGACAACAGUUCUCGCGAGGAGAUUGUGAGCCCCCCGCCAGCAUUUUUAAACCCAGUCGAACCACAUUUCGUAGAUGGCACAUGGCUCCCUGUUAUGCUUCAGACCUGACUCCUGUCUGCCUCUGGUGGCCUCAUUUCAGCGUCCAUCAAACCAAAGCCAGUCUGACCAGUUUGGGCUUGUUGUCCUGAAGGUCUGCACAGCCCACGGUUUUCAGUGUGAGGCCUUGGGUGGGGUUGUCCUCCCAGGUGACUGCUGUUACAGUUGCACUUCUUUGGGAGGAGGUCACGCUGGUGUAACUCCUGCUUCUUCACCUGAAACACACACCAAUGCGGAACGUGGGGCAGGAGAGGCAGGGUUUGCCAUGAUGAAACAUGUCGAGAGGCCCACCGGCAGGGAAACAAAGACAGCUGCAGCAAAGAACUGAGCUUCUUAGUCCAAAAUCCUUUGAGGAACUGAAUCCUGCCAACCCACUGACCUUGGAAUAAGAUUCUUCCCCCAUCAAGCCUUCUGGAGAGACUGCAGCUUGGGCUGAGGCCUUGAUUGCAACCUGUGAGCCCAAAGCAGAAGACCCAGCUCAUCUGUGCCCCCAGCUCAUCUGUGCCUCGGGUCCUGACCCACAGAGCUCUGAGGCAUAUUACUUCUUUAAAUGUUGUGAACACGCACACUAAGUCAGCUCUGCAAAAAACACAGCCGCUGCGAGGUCUUCAGUCCUCUGCAGUUCUCCUGCUGUUUUGAUUCUGGGAGGCCUGAACUGGCUUUACCAGCAAGCUCUCCACACGAGGCAAACAAGACAAGACUCAGGUAAACUCUGAAGACCGUGGUUUCGUUCCUUUUCCUACCUGUGUCCUUUCCAGUUGGCAGGGAACACCAGUCAGUGCAAAGUUUGUUGGGACCUGGUAAGUUUCACAAUUAAUUUGUAAAGCAACCCUGGUGGCGUAGUGGUUAAGUGCUACAGCUGUUAACCAAGAGAUCGGCAGUUUGAAUCCCCAGGUCCUCCUUGGAAACUCUACAGGGCAGUUCUACUCUGUCCUGUAGGGUCGCUAUAAGUUGGAAUUGACUUGACCUCAGUGGGUUUGGGUUUUGUUUUGUUUUGUUUUUUUGGUGCUGAUAAAAUGUUUUUUAUAUUUUAUUUAUUUUUGAGAAAUUCAGUUGCCUGUGGCUAAUGCUGUCUCCCACCCCCGCUGCCCCGAAACAUUUCAGACUAUUGAAAAAAUUGUGCGCUAUUUUAAGAUGCAGCUAUAAUCUUGAAAAACUCGUUUAGUGCUGGUGGAAUUCAUUGCUGUUGCUCUCGUUCGUGGGUUGGCUCUUGCUUCUGUAAGGCCCCUCCUCUCUGGGCCCAUGGAGGUUAGGGUUAGAGUUAGGGUUAGGGUUAGGGUUAGGGUUAGGGUUAGGGUUAGGGUUAGGGUUAGGGUUAGGGUUAGGGUUAGGGUUAGGGUUAGGGUUAGGGUUAGGGUUAGGGUUAGGGUUAGGGUUAGGGUUAGGGUUAGGGAUAGGGAUAGGGCUAGGGUUAGGCCUGUGAGGCUCCAGCUAGAUCAUGAAAUAGGAGCUUUUUAAGUCAAAACCUGCAUGGGUAGUGUGGGUGAAUACGGCUUAUAGGUAUUUCUAUGUUCAGAGUUCUUUGCAAAAUUAUGUUAAAUACUUGUAUGCAGCUUGUGGUAUAUGCACAGACAUGCUUCGUUAUGAGAAGACUGGAUUUUAAAAUAGUCAUUCCAUUAGUAAAUAAAUUCUUCCCUGAUAACAAAUCAUUAGAACUCUGAGACUUCUCGCUCCUCUGUUCUCGACUGUCACUCCCAGCCCCUGUGAGGAAAAGUUUCCCUCUGUUUAUUGCCUCAGAGUUGGGGCUAUUUCUUGAGUCUUAAUGUCUCCUGUAUUAGUUCAAGCAGGGAAAUUCUACUGUUUACUGGGGAAAAAAGCAGUGCCUACUUUACAUCUGUUGCGACACACUGGCUUAAAUGACAAAACAAACAAGCCCUGGAAAGCCAGAGACUCUUAAAGAAAAAGUUGCAAAAUUAUAGUGGCCACUUCAGGCCAAACCUCUGAAUCCUACAUGUAAGCAUAGCACACUGGGGAGUCAUUUUGGACCCCUCCCUGUGCCUGUGUGAAUAGAAAGAUUUUUAGCUUGGUUUAUAACUGUGUUUGUGACUUUGGCGUAAGGUACAAUCUCCCCAGAUUCCCCUUAAAUUCAAAGAGAAAUGCAUCUUUCCAUCAAAUUGAGACAGGAGCCUAACGUUUAUUGAACAUCUAUGAACAUAUAUUGCUCUAAAAAGCACUCCCAUACUGUCAUCCACAGCCCAGUGAGACAGGUAAUAGCUUCAUCUUUCUUUUAAAAUGGAGAAAUGAAGACUCAGAGUGGGCAAGCAACUUGCCCAAAAUGAUCCAGUUAGUACGAGGCAAAGCCAAUACUCAGAGUGUGUUCGUUUAACCAAACUGUUUAAACAUAUGAUUUAGUUUUUCUAACAACCUAGGUGGUUGAUAAGACCUCCAGUUUAUCACUUUAGGCUCAAGGGAUCAGGCAACUUGCCAAAUUCAGCUAAACCCGGCACAGUCAGGACAGGAACCCAUUCGCCACACCUCCACUGAAGGUGAGAAGAUGGCGCUCCCUGAGUGUUCUCAGGCCCCUGCACGUCAAGGCCACAUCGUCCAGGUGCACUGCGGGCACUUCUUGUCCUGCGUCUUAAAGGAACUCUCUUCUGGAAAGGGUUUUGCAUGGGGGCGGUGAGCCCCCACAACAGGCCUCUGGCUCUUACUUCACUAGGUGAGGCCUGAAGAUCACGUCGGUGUGGACUGACACGAGGGCGAGGUUUUCCUUCUUACCAUGUUUCACCACAGACAAGUGGAAAACAGGAACCCUCACUUUUCUGAAAUCACCAGCGGUUACUCAGAUAACUGUAGCCACAACACACCUGAAAGCAAAGCCGUCAGAUGGGAUAUGGAGGCUAUCAUCCCUGCUUCCCUUACGAGGAGGUGGCACAGUGGUCAGACAGCCUGAGUCACCAUCGAGGUGUGUGGGGGUGGCGCUUCACAGAACACCCCAGGCCAAGCACUGCAGCAGGGACAGUGCAGUGUGAGGACCUGUCUCACAGACAGCACCUACCGAGCUGCCUCAGGCACUUACCUCCUGCACCUGAGCUCAGGAUGGCUAAACUCAAGCAGGUAUCUGGUCUUGUCACCUAUGAAGAGUUUUUAUACAAGAGGCCCUGCACUCACACGGAAAUCAGGAACUUGACUGCUUCGGGCUGACAGUGUGUUUUGAGAAGAAGGGGGAAAAUAUCAUUCUCUCCCUGCAAGUUCCCGUCCAUUGUUGAGUAAACAUCGUAAAUAGAUUGCUGAGAGACAGGCUGCAUGUGCUCACAUUACCUCCUGCUGCAAUUCUAGCUUCAUUUUCUGCGCUAAGCAUGAAUAACGCUGCAGCCCAGCACAGGUCUGAUUAAUGCGGCAACUUUGCCAACUUCAGGCGUGGAGGGUGGCUCCCGCCCUCUCCCGUUUUCUCCCCAUGGCUUAGUAACCACUUCAGCGAAAUUUUCCCAUUAAAUAUACAAGGCAACGGAGUGCAAUAAAAACCAAAGGAUGUGGCAGACAAACACCCACAUCUGUCCAUGCAGACCUGGCCAGCUGACGGAGAGCAGGUCAGCCCUGCCAUUAAUUCCAGCAUAAAAGCUGUGUGCACCUUGCCAUUUUCUCAGGGGUCAUCUUCAGGCUAUAAGAACACUUACAGGGCCAUCUGCUUCCCAGGUGGUGGUAUGCCCUAGUCACAUCUCAGAUAACCGGUGCACACACACUGCAUUUGAGAAUACGGCUGAAGGUCACAUUCAGGAGGUCAUUCAAAUUAGUACCUAGUGUCCAACCCUGGGUCCCUGGGUGGCACAAACAUAUGUGCUCAACUACUAACCUAAACACUGGCAGUUCAAACCCAUCCUGUGGCACCAUGGAAGAAAAGCCUGGCUAUCUGUUUCCAUAAGGAUUACAGCCAAGAAAACCCUGGGGAUCAGUUCUACUUUGUAAUACGUAGGGUUGCUGUGAGUCAGAAUCAACUCCACGACAACAGGUUUGGGUUUUUUUGUUUGGUCCAACUAGGAAAGAAAGGAAGUUUUGUCUUUCCCAGACUUUGCUUGGCCCCCUGAUAUGAUUGUGAGUUCCUUGAAUAAUUCAUGGGUGAAUCAUAGCUAUUGAGCAUUUAAUAGAGACUGGGCACUCUCAACAAGAAAUGCCAGGUGUUCCCAGGGGCCUUGCUGGGUCCUUCGUGAGAUGGCAGAGAUGCCUUCUGACAUGACCUUGCUCACUUUCCACUACAGCCUUGUGCAGUCGAUGACAUUACCUCCAUGUUUCUCAAAAUCAAAAUGGGGUGUCAGGGGUGACAGCUUGCCUAGUGAUAGAGAUAGAAUCUGGGCCUUGCUCAGACUCCAAAUUCAGUGCGCUUAAGCAACCCAACUUCUCUCCUUCCUCCCAGUCCCCUGUUCCCACUGUGAUUCUCUCUGUUAACACACACACACACACACACACACACACACACACAUCCUUCUCCAAGAUUUUAGGCAUCAGGCCUGUGCAAUCUGUCAGAGGGCAAGACUGGGGGUCAGGGCCAUUGUGGUCAGUCAGCAGAAGUUCACAAAUGCUUAAGGAGCACUGAGACCAACAUUGCUCCUUAGCCCCAGGUGGACAGGUCAGCAGGUAUCAACAUGUGUUCCACAGGGAGAUAACUACAAGCAUUUUGCUGGAAGAGUUCUCUGAACCAGCAAGUUUGGGAAACCCUGGAUUAAGCAAUUCAACUGUCUCCGUCACUGCAGGACUUCUCAGGGCCUUUAAUAUGCUGAUGAACGCUACGAAUCUCUAGGAAGGGAAGAAGGAGCCCUGGUGGUACAAUGGUUAAGCACUCAGCUGCUAACCGAAAGGUCAGUGGUUUGAACCCACCAGCAGCUCCAGGGGAGAAAAGACCUGGCAAUCUGCUCCCAUAGGGGUUAUAGCCCAGGAAACCCUAUGACCAGUUCUGCUUUGUUGCGUAGGGUUGCUAUAAGUCAGAACCGACCCGAUGGCACACAAGGAAGGGAAGGUAGCUCAAAUCUCCCGAGAGUGCCUGACUGGGGAAUCUUGAGUGUGCAGAUAUCUCUGCAGGACAUUCUCUGAGAAGACUGCUCUAGACUCCAGUUCCUAAAGCUUUUCACGCCAUCUUCCUUUUCACUUUCUUUCCCCAACUGUUCCCACUUGAGGGUACCUGCCUCAGAUGUGCCACACACACAAUAGUCAUGUCAUCCUCAGGGCUACACUGUGACCCAGCACAGGCUCUGAGAUGUCCCAUGGCCUCCUAGCGUGAAGGACGAGAGUGGGGUGAAGGCUGGCGUAUCUCUUCCUUCAUUUCUAGAGCCUGCUGCUAAAACCAUGAUUACUUGAAGUUCUGACCUCCUAGAAUGUCUGGGAAUCUUCCAAAAGAACAACCAAAUCUGUCUUGGAAGAAGUAUAGCCAGAAUGCCCCUUAGAAGUGAGGAUGGCGAGACUUUGUCUCACAUACUUUGGACACGUUACCAGGAGGGAUCACUCCCUGGAGAAGGAUAUCAUGCUUGGUAAAGCAGAGGGUCAGUGAAAAAGAGGAAGACUCUCAGUGAGACGGAUUGACACAGUGGCUGCAACAAUGGGCUCAAACAUAGCAACAUCGUGAGGUUGGCAUAGGACCGGAUAUGUUUCGUUCUGUUGUGCAUGGGGUCGCUGUGAGUCAGAACAGACUCAACGGCACCUAACAACGACAACAACAACUGCAGAAUCUCCCAGAACCUCAUAAGCGUCCCCAGGCUCCUGAUUUGAGAGAUGGAUGGAAAGCCCCACUCCCAUGAGAACAUGGGCUCAGAGCUUCACGGAACCUGAGGCAAGAGCAGGAAGUUCUAGCCCGGGAACCAGGCCAUUUGUGCCUGGAAGGUUGUCACUACGUGACUCCUUGGCAACUUCAGUGAGAAGACAGGACGUGGAUGUCAGAACUUGCUGAUGUUCUGGGAGAGCUGUCAGGUGCAGCUUUCUCCCCAGACACUUCACUCUGAGGAGCCUCCAGCUCUGUAAGGUGGAAAUGCUGAUCUGUGCCAGCCCGGGGCUGAGGGGAGUGAGAGAGAGAGCUUUACAGAACAGCUGGGCACCUACCAUGGAACAGUUGUUUAGAGGAAAGUCUGGAGGCAAAUCGGACCUUCCCGGGCCCUUCUGCGAAGAGAAGCGUUAUAGCGAAGUCUGGGAUUUGACUUUAGGGGCGUGCUUCUGUUUUUUUUCAGGAUGUGCUUUUAAUCACCAGCAGUGAGUCUAGUUCUAAAAACUAAGUCGCUAAAUAGGAAGUCUAAGGAGCUCAUCCAGUCUGCAGACGCGACAACAGGACGCAGGGGUUGUCCUGGGGCAAAGACCCUGGAGCUAGGCAGUGGUCAAGAGGUGCUGAACCUUAAAUGUUUUAAUAUUUUACAAGGAGGCUGUGUGUUAUUUCUCUAAUUAUCUGUCACAAAAGGACAGGUACUGUGUGACUCCACUUCUCUGAAGUAUCUAGAAUAGGCGAGUUUCCAGAGGCCUAACUUGAUUAGUGGUUACCAAGGGUAGGAGGAAGGGGGACGGGGCUUCGUUGCUUGGAAAGCGCUGAGCUUCUGUUGAGGGUGGUGGAAACAGGUAAUGCUGAAUGUGCACGCAGAGAGUGCUGAGAUGGGGGAUGUUUUUACAUAAGUAUUUACCAAAAAAAGAGUCAAGUUUUAGAAAAACAAAGGUGACCGGAAUUAGCACCUAAUAUCCAACCAAUUUCCAACCAGGAAAGAAAGGGGGUUUUGUGAAGACUUUAGGCCCAGAUCCAUUUCCACCUCAGCAAGAUGGGCAAGGACAGGGUAAAUUCUGUCAGGUUUGUCAAGCCUUUAUUAUUGCCUUAUUUUUCUUCUAACAGUUUCCCAGUAGUGAUUACUAAUAAAACUCAAAACAACAAUGACAACAAAAACAAAUCACCCCAAAACAUGCAGACGCUCUUGGCUAGUAUUGUCUUUUGACAUCCCAUUUUUUAUUUCAAAAUGCAAACUGCUUCCUUUUGUCUCUUGCUUCCCAAGCUUUCCGGAUAGAAUUGUGUCCCCAAAACAUAUGUUGAAGCCCUAAUCCCUAUACCUGUGAACGUGAUUCUGUUUGGAAAUAGGUUUUUCUUUUGCUGUGGUAAUGAUGCCAUACCAGAGUAGGAUGGGUCCUAAACCUAACGCAUUCUGAUGGCAUCUUACAUAGAAGAGUAAGGACCCAGAAGGAGCCCUGGUGGCGUAGUGGCUAAGCACAUGGAUGUUAACCGAAAGGUUAGCGGUUCAAACCCACCAGCCACUCCACAAGAGAAAGAUGAGGUAGCCUGCUUCCAUAAAGAUUUACAGCCUUGGAAACCCUAUGGGACAGUUCUACUCUGUCCUAUAGGAUCGACUUGAUGACAAUGAGUUCUUUUUAAAGGCACAGAGAGAUACACACACAGGGGAAAGACAGACAGCAUGUCACAUUGCAGACAGAGAGACACAUCUGCAAGCCUAGGAGUGCCAAGGGCUGCUGGAAACUAUCAGAAGCUGAAAGAGAGAAGAACCUUUUGUUAGAGCUGAUGCCCUGAAUUCAGACUCAGAGCCUCCUGAGCUGUGAGAUAAGCCACCCGCUACAGCAGAGCUAGGAAGCUAAGACUCCAAGUUCACUCUCACUCCCAGGCCCCUUCAGAAGAUGCGGGAUCGUGCCCACCCAGGUCUUGCAUUCCUGAGAGAGCGUGAGUAUCCAGCCCUCCCCACUCCCACAGCCACCAUCCUUCCCAGCUGAGGCUUCCUUUCCACUCAGGCCGGGCACCUCAUGCUGAAACCAGGGUUUUAGUGGUUACCCCCCUCAUCAAGGAACACAUGGUCUUUCUGAUGAGACCCUUUCUGGGUGGAGCGUCCGGCCUGUACUUGAUCUAGGCAGUACCUACAAAACCGAAUGCUUCUGAGUUGUUUCCAACUCAUAGUGACCCUAUGGGACAGGGUAGAACUUCCCCAUAGGGUUUCUGAGGCUGUAAUCUUUACAGAAGCAGACUGCCACAUCUUUCUCCCACAGAGCAGCUGGUGGGUUCGAACCAUUGACCUUUCAGUUGGCAAACGAGUGCUUACCCACUGGGCCACCGGGGCUUGUUGAUUCAGGCAGCAGGGAAGGUAGACAGCGCUUCCUCACCACAGUGAGCAAAGCACAGAGCAGAGCAGGCAAGAGCCAGCAUUUUGGACCUGAAAGGUGUGAGCCAGAAUCCCACCUCGGCUUGUGACUGGCUGUGUGAUCCAAGGCAACUGAUCCAGCCUCUCUGAGCCUCAGUUUCCCCACUUGUAAAAUGGGGAUAAGCCCAGACCCUGCCUCGUGGGGCUGUGGUAGGGGAGAAACAGAGCAGUCCUGUAAAGGGCCUGGUCUGGGUCCCCGAGGGCCUGUGGCGUGUCAGGAAGGCUGCUGCCCGUCCAUCCCAGGGCGGCUGUGUCAGAUCGGUGGCGGGGGGGGGGCGGGGGAGAAGCUCGGCAACCCACUUAAAAGGGACUUUGACUCAUUCUGUGGUAACCAAACGUGCGGUUCAGGAAGUGCUUCACAAAAGCUAACUGGCUCCAGUCGCCCCCUCGUCCCCUGGCCCUCUCCUCAGAAUUCGCAACUGAAGACGGUGCUCCUAGCAGUGUUCCCCCAACACAGCCUAGAGGGCAUCCACUGUGCCAACAGCAAGACCCCUGUGCACGGGGAGCCCACUGGGGGCAGGUCGAUGCUGUGGGGUCUGUGGGCUCGUGGACAGACUGCCUGGGUCCAGAGUGUGCUCCAUCCCUUAGGCCACAUGCAAAGCAUCUCGGGGCCUCACUUUCCUCAUCUAUAACCACUACCCCUGUGUGCCAGGCCCUGUGCUAAGGAAGCAUUUGGCAGGCACAGCAGCACUGAAUUCUCACAGUGGCUCUACAGAAAGUACUAAACUUCGUACCGUUUAAGGACGGGGGAAACUGAGGUGCCCAGAGGUUAAGAAUGCUAGGGCAUGUGGGGUAAGUCCCAGAGCUGGUGUUGAACCAGGGGACUUGUAUGCCGGAUCCCACCCUCCUAACCUCUAGGAUCUGGCACAUAGUAGGUGUUCAGCUGUCCCUAAUGUGAAUGGAAGCACAGACAGAUGCCACAGCCCACACACCUAAUGUGGUCAGUGUAGAGGGAAAAGAAGUGAGUAAACCAAACCGGACGCCUUCCAGAAGAUCCCAACUCAUGGUGACCCAUGUGUGUCAGAGCAGAACGGGGCUCCAAAUGGUUUUCAGUGGCUGAUUUUUCAGAAGCAGAUAGCCAGCUCUUUCCUCCAAGGUGCCUCUGGGUGGACUCAAACCUCCAGCCUUUUGGUUAGCCAUCAAGCACAUUAACUGCACCACCCAGGGACUCCAGAAAUGGGUGAGAUGUCUUCAAACCCUGUUGAUUCCUGGUGAGCAGCAAGGUGUUGAGCAUGGAGGAAGCUCAGGGCCCACAGCAGGGCCCCUCUUGCUCCCCUGGGAUACCCGCAUGCCUCCUAGGAGUAGACACGAUGGUGUUUUCUGCACACUCUGGAGCUUCAAGCUCCACAGAGCCUCUGACUGAUUGCUCCAUGGAAGUGGCAGCAGAAGCCUGUGGAAAGCCCUAGAGGGCGCUGACCUGUGAAGGAGCAGGCUACCAGUGGGGACUGGAGCCCUUGGGUGGUACAAACAGUUACUGUGCACUGCUGCUAACCGAGAGGGAGAAAGGCCUGGCCAUCUUGUUCCAAAAAAGCAGCCAUUGAAAAUCCUACAGAGCACAGCUCUACUCUGACACACAUGGGGCCACCACAAGUAGGAGGUGACUCCGUGGCAACCGUUUUUGUUUUUACCAACAGGGACUGGAGAGUGGAAUGGGGUGAAGGGAGGCCAGGAAGGAAGGGGUUCCCCUCAUCCUUAGCCCAUCACCACCGCCACUUGGGGACUUCUCAGGGAGAGAGGAAUGAAGCAGAGUCAGUGAGCAUGCCCAGGCAACACCGGCCCAGGACUAAAGAGUCUGGCUGUCAACCCAAAACCAAACCCUUCUCUGUCAAGUUGAUUCUGAUUCACAGCGACCCUAUACACCCUCUAUGACAGAGUAGAACUGCCCAAUAGCGUUUCCAAGGAGUGGCUGGUGAAUUCAAACUGCCAACCUUUUGGUUAGCAGACUGAGUUCAUAACUACUGUGCCACCAGGGCCCCAUCUGGCUCCCAGGCCCUGGGAAAAGUUGACCCUCUUCUCCCCUUGCUUCCCAGGCUGGCGGGGGGAGGGGAGAACAGGGAACUCCAUAAGGGAGCAGGCCCCCUGCUGGGAAAUCAGGGCCUGUCUUAGUUCCUCAUUCAAGGCACACACCCCAAUUCCUAAGGCAGUUAAAAGCCCCGAGUUGCCUAACGUGGUGGCGGAAGGCAGCCUGCCCCGUGGUCCCACACCCUCAAGCCUGAGUGUCCCAGACAAGGGCCCGGUCUCUCUGCCCCCAGGACAGACCAUGGCAGACUUCCACCAGAGCCCGUGGGUUGAGGAGGAAGCUGCCGUUCUGAUGGCCCAGAAGCAUCUGUUCUGCAUUUGUCAUUGUCAAGCUCUGAUGUCUCUUGGGAAGACCUUUGAAGGACAGCUUUUGCUGUUGUCACCAAAAGAGCAAAAGGAAGCAAAUAAUUACAGUCCCUUUCUUUCGGGACUUUUUCUUUGCCAGUCGUAAGCCUUUUCAGUAAACAGCAGCUUUUACCAAAUGUACCCUCCCCCGGUGAGUCUCUAAAGCAUCCCUCCCCCAGCCCUUGGUUCCCCGUUGUGCUGAGAAACCAGGAGGUAAACACAGUUGGGCAAAGGCUGAAAUAAAGUGAGCCAGCAGGAGAGCUUUCCUUUUCACCUGGGCUUGUUUCUACAUCUUUUGAAGGAGUCCUGGGACCCAUGGCCCAGCUCUGUGUUAAAAAUCAGAGAUUGGCACCACGGGGUUACCUUCUGAGCCUUUUAGUGCUUCCCACUAUGAUCUGGACGGUCCCACUACGUGCUUGUUCAUGUAGUACAUUCGCCAGUCAUCAGCCUCAUGGGAACUGGAGGGCAGUGGAGCAGGGACUGCCCAGAAAGGCCCUGCCUGCUCUCUUAGGCUUCCCACUCUGCCCUGGCACAUCCGUGCACCUGAUCUCCAGCACAUUGUCCAGUUGCCAAAGGUUCCCUGCUGUAUUUGGGACUAGUAAGCCAGUGCCAGAAGUCCCCAGGUGAUGCAGACAGCAGUUAAGUACUUGGCUGCUAACCUAAAGGUUGGACUUGGAAAACACCAAGAGGCACCUUGAAAGAAAGGCCUGGCAAUCUUCUUCCAAAAAAUCAGCCUUCUAAAACCCUAUGUAGUACAGUUCUACUCUGACACACAUUGGGUUGCCAUGAGUUGGGGUCAACUCCACGGCAACUGGUUUGGUUUUGCUUUUAAGCCAGCACUGGAUCCAGAACGGCCACAAAAUACCCUGUUUGUUGGAGGCCGAGGGCAAGUGAGUAGGCCCACUUGGGGUUAAUGAAUGAUCUCAGCUUACCCCAGGGCUCUGCUGAACCCAGGAAGAAUAGAGCCAUUUUAUUCUUCAGAAUUUAAGGAAAGUUUUCCAGGUUGGAUGGGUGGAUUUUUCCCAGCAGGAAAGCAGAGUUUCUGGGGUGUGACUCCCCACUGACAAAGGGGAUGGCCUGGUUCCUCUCUAUCUUCCUGCUUUUCUCGUGGAAAGUGUAGUCGUUUCUUAUUACUAACAUGGGAGCUUAAAACAGCAUACAUUUAUUCUUUUGCAGCUCUGGAGGCCCCAAGUCCUGCAUCACUUUCACUGGGCUUAAGUCAAGGUAUCGUUGGGGCUGGUUCCUCCUGGAUGCUAUAAGGAAGGAUCCUUUUCCAGCUUCGAGGGGCUGUCUGUAUUCCUUGGUGUGCAAAGGACCAUCCUAAACGGCAUCACUCCAAUCUCUGCCUUCAUUGUCAAAUAGCCUUCUCUCCUUUGGCCCCUCUUAUGAGAACUCUUACGAUUACAUUUAGGGCUCACCCAAAUAAUCCAAGAUGCUCUCACGAUCCUUAAUUUCCUUACAUCUGCAAAGUCCCUUUUGCCACGUAAGGUAAAAUUCCCAGGUUCCAGGGAUGAAGACGUCGACAUGUUUGGGAGGCUGUUAUUCAGUCAGCCACAGAAAGUCACGGUGAUGAUCUGCAGACAGCCCCCUGCACCUCUGUGGAAUGCUUGGAGUAAACGUAGUAACAAAAGAGCAAAACACGUAGCAGGGUGAGCUUCCUAUAUUCAGAACCCCCAGCAUUUAGUCCCUAUCUCUGCCCCACUCAGGCCCCUCUGGGUCCGUCUCAGUGAUACCUCCAUUGUGCGAUGUCUCGGGAGGGGCUGGAUCCAAAUGUCCUUCCAACCAGAGGGGCUAGAAGUGCCAAGUCAUCCUGUCCACUCCUGGUAGCCAGGGUGAACAGCCACCAAGCUCUGUCACUGGAAUGCUGUUUCCUGAGACUUGGGAGCUUGAGUUGUUCAGUUCAGCAGUGACACCCUGACUACAGUGCUCCUGCCUCAAGCCCACUUUUCUCAUUCCUUGUCUUUGGCCUCCAGGGCUACCUUGGGGCCUGCCCACUUCCAACCCUGAUGACCCAGACUUCCCUGUUAUGUAGUCAUCGCUGAUACGGUUACCUCAUAAGUCCUUCGUGAUGAAGUGAACACAUGCAGACUCUGUUGCUUGCACUCAAAGAACUAUGUCUACAUGCUGAAUAAACAUAGGACCAUGUCUACUUGCAGAAUAAACGUAGGACUGUAUCUACAUGCUGAAUAAAUGUAGGACAUGAGGACUCAGGGUCAUCUUAGAGGUGGGCUUGCGUCUUGGUAACCCAAUCAUUGCAUCAAGGCCCUGCUUCUGUCAGUGAGGAGUGUGACUGGGUGCACCGGGGGAGGGGUCAGUGACGGGAGGUAGAGUUGGUCCCAUUCUCUUUGGUGGUCCCAGUCAAGCCCUCGCUUCAGCCAGGCAUCUGGAUUUCUGCCCCUGGUUAUCUAUUGCACAACAAGCUCUUUUGUUACAUAAGGUGGCAUCAUUAUUACCAGAGCCCUAUAUCUAUUUAUGUAAUUCCCAUUGCGUCUCUGGGUGACACAAAUGGUUUCCACUCUUCUACUAACCUAAAGGUUGGUGGUUCAAAUCCACCCAGCAGCAAAUGUGGAAGAAAGGCCUAGCGAUCUGCUCCUGUAAUCGUCACAGCCAGGAAAACCCUGCUAAGCUGCUCUACAGCACGUGCGGUCGCCAGGAGUUGAAAUCAACCUGAUGGCAAUGGGUUUGGUUCAUUUAUUUAUUUUUUAAUCCCCGUUUAUGCAGACGUUUGCAGGACAACCAGGGUAUAAAAUGGGAAUGAUUUAGUAGUGGCAGGACACCUGGGGUAUAAAAUGGGAACAAUUUAGUAGUGGCAGGACACCCAGGGUAUAAAAUGGGAACACGUUUAGUAGUGGCAGGACACCAGGGGUAUAAAAUAGGAAAGAUUUAGUAGUGGCAGGACACCUGGGGUACAAAAUGGGAACAAGUUUAGUAGUGGCAGGAGACCCAGGGUAUAAAAUGGGAACGAUUUAGCAGCAGCAGGCUGGAGCUGCAGCAAACAUUGGCAGGGUUUUUGUUUCUGUUUAAUCUCUGAAGAACCUAGAUGUGUGUCAUGGAUUGAAUUAUGUCGCCCCAAAAAUGUGUGUAUCAGCUUGGUUAGGCCAUGAUUCCCAGUAUUGUGUGGUUGUGCUCCAUUUUGUGAUCGUAAUUUUAUGUUAAGAUGAUUAGAGUGGGAUUGUAACAUCACCCUUACUCAGGUCACCACCCUGAUUCAAGGUACAGAAAGUUUCCCUGGGGUGUGGCCUUCACCACCUUUUAUCGCUCAUAAAAGAAAAGAGAAGCAAACAGAUAGUUGGGGACCUCAUACCACCAAGAAAGUAGCACCAGGAGCAGAGCGCAUUCUUUGGACCCGGGGUCCCUGCACCUGAGAAGCUCCUCAACCAUGGGAAGACUGAGGACAAGGCCCUUCUUCCAGAGCCGACAGAGAGAGCCUUCCCCCGGAGCUGACGCCUUGAAUUUGGAUUUGUAGCCUACUUUACUGUGAGGAAAUAAAUUUCUCUUUAUUAAAGCCAUCCACUUGUGGUAUUUCUGUUAUAGCAGCACUGGAUGACUAAGACAAUGUGCAAUGCAUAUUUAAUGAAUGCGAUAAUGAAUGAAUGAACAAAAGAAUGCUACUAUUCAGAGAAUCCUCUUUCCCGUUGGGCUCAGUGGCUAUCUAGAGUUGCAGUCACUCUUCAGAGAUGAACCUCUCAAACGCCGCUGAAAAACCAUGGAUUGUGCCUGCUUAUUGUUGUUGUUUGUUUUUUACUUUUUGUUACUGUGUUCUACUC